Molecule: long non-coding RNA, 1583 nt
Filed under: Salmo trutta (river trout)
Lineage: Eukaryota; Metazoa; Chordata; Actinopteri; Salmoniformes; Salmonidae
Description: lncRNA (ENSSTUG00000024006.1)
Source: RNAcentral
GGAGACCCAGACUCACCCUGGUUCUUGAGGGUUGAAGACAGCGAAAAAGUAUCAUUAAGUAAAUGGGACUUUUCAAUUCUUGAAUACAAAUCUUUAAUGAACAUGAAUUUAAAUACAAUUGACUUGAGGAUCAGAGCAGGCAGGCUGACUAGCUAGCCCUGAAGGCCCUCUGCCUCUACCUCUGUGUGGUUCAUCUCAACCAAGAGGUUGUGUGGGUUGUCUUUCUCUCUGUGGGUGUGAAUCACUAUGACCUCUCCCUCUGCCUGCCAUUUGGCUGAUCAGAAGCCUUCUGCUCUUUCUUGCUCACAUGAACAGGAGGAAUGGCCUCCUCCUCUAUCUAAUGCCUCUUCCACCUCCUCUUUCUGGCUGUGUUCGACUGAGGUCACUUGUUCUCUCUCCCUGGGUGUUGGAUAGAGGAGGAGGCCAUUCCUCCUGUUCAUGUGAGCAAGAAAGAGCAGAAGGCUUCUGAUCAGCCAAAUGGCAGGCAGAGGGAGAGGUCAUAGUGAUUCACACCCACAGAGAGAAAGACAACCCACACAACCUCUUGGUUGAGAUGAACCACACAGAGGUAGAGGCAGAGGGCCUUCAGGGCUAGCUAGUCAGCCUGCCUGCUCUGAUCCUCAAGUCAAUUGUAUUUAAAUUCAUGUUCAUUAAAGAUUUGUAUUCAAGAAUUGAAAAGUCCCAUUUACUUAAUGAUACUUUUUCGCUGUCUUCAACCCUCAAGAACCAGGGUGAGUCUGGGUCUCCCUUUUCCUGGGCAAACACAACUUGCAUAUCGUCAUAGACUAGGCCGAAACGUUAAUCUUUUAACCUUGCUUGAAUAAAGCAAUGCAUUUUUUAUAGUGAGCAAGAGUUGCGCUUUUUCCUUUUCUAUGAUCAUUCAAGUUUUUGGUUGCACCUCAACUCAACGUUGGUUUCUGUUUAUUUUAUUUUUACAGGGACAGUGCACAUUUAUCAACGUUUCAGUUAAGCCAGUUAGCCAGCCGGCUAAUUUUCAACCGCAGUCCCUGGGCAGGUUAUUAAAAAACAAUUACAAAUAGACAAUCAUUGAGCAGUGAGCACACGCAGAGCAACAUAGGACAAGCAAGACGUAGCAUACAGACAGAGCAACAUAGAAGAAAAAGCAACAAGACAAAAUCCAUUAAAGCAACAGUGUUUCCACACCUCACAAGCUACAGACAACAUGGAAAGCGGCAAUAUACAGCUAGGGAUUAUGUUCACAAAUAUGAUUGACGCCCACUUUUUUUGCACUAUGUUUGAAGGCUGUCAAAUUCUUGUCAGGAGGAGAAUCACUUAGCCUUUCAACUAAUUUUCAAAUGAUAGGAUGCCUAUUUAAAAACACUUUUUCCACAUUUCAAGAUAGCAGUUAGUUCAGUUUGAUCUUAUUAAAGACAGCUGUAUCAUUUUUUUAUUCAUUUUGACAUAUUGUUUGGGACCACUUUUUUUGCUCUGUUUGAAGGCUGUCAGCUUCUUCUCAGGAGGAGAAUCACUUAGCCUUUCAACUAAUUUUCAAAUGAUAGGAUGCCUAUUUAAAAACACUUUUUCAACAUUUCAAGAUAGCAGUUAGUUCAGUUUGAUCUUAU